GCUUACUUGGUGAAAUCUAGGUAAACACGUCAGACUUAAAAUCUGUUCCUUUUAAAGGUUACUGGUUCAAGUCCAGUAGUAAGCA
RNAcentral lists this transfer RNA (85 nucleotides) under Jenufa perforata. Its description in RNAcentral is "tRNA-Leu". It matches the Rfam family "tRNA". From Rfam's summary of the family: Transfer RNA (tRNA) molecules are approximately 80 nucleotides in length. Their secondary structure includes four short double-helical elements and three loops (D, anti-codon, and T loops). Lineage: Eukaryota; Viridiplantae; Chlorophyta; Chlorophyceae. The record is from RNAcentral.